CCGGCAUCUAGGGUAGGCCACCCGAAAAGCAGAAUCCUUUCACUGCCUGAUGCUGGUUCCUAUUUUGAAAGG
This 72-nucleotide small RNA is filed under the name Thiothrix nivea DSM 5205. RNAcentral describes it as "int-alpA RNA". It matches the Rfam family "int-alpA RNA". Rfam says of the family: Acidobacteria (1 example), Planctomycetes (1 example), Proteobacteria. Environment (Lake Washington) Lineage: Bacteria; Pseudomonadati; Pseudomonadota; Gammaproteobacteria; Thiotrichales; Thiotrichaceae. The record is from Rfam by way of RNAcentral.